This is a long non-coding RNA of Zophobas morio, 189 nucleotides long. RefSeq lists it as uncharacterized. The transcript has 3 exons. Lineage: Eukaryota; Metazoa; Arthropoda; Insecta; Coleoptera; Tenebrionidae. The record is from RefSeq and is a predicted model, not a curated record.
AACAUCUCCCUAAAACAUGCUUCAACAAUUAAAGACCGCCGCCUUCGUCGCCUUUUGGGCCGUUGCUUUAGUCACAAUGGCCGCAGCAGAGAGCGAACUCCCACAGAGUUAUUGACUGUAUCAAGAAGAAGAGCACCACACACAUUGCGAUUUUCUGGAAAUAGUUCUAGAUAGCACUUUGUAAUGCAC